RNAcentral lists this non-coding RNA (147 nucleotides) under Metabacillus litoralis. RNAcentral describes it as "Bacillus litoralis FMN sequence". It matches the Rfam family "FMN riboswitch aptamer (RFN element)". Rfam says of the family: The RFN element is a highly conserved domain that is found frequently in the 5'-untranslated regions of prokaryotic mRNAs that encode for flavin mononucleotide (FMN) biosynthesis and transport proteins. Lineage: Bacteria; Bacillati; Bacillota; Bacilli; Caryophanales; Bacillaceae. The record is from Rfam by way of RNAcentral.
UACAUUCUUCGGGGCAGGGUGGAAUUCCCUACCGGCGGUGAUGAAGCUAAAAUAGCUUCUUAGUCCGUGACCCGUUAAUAUAUAUUAACGGUGGAUCUAGUGAAACUCUAGAGCCGACAGUUAAAGUCUGGAUGGGAGAAGAAUUGC